This 246-nucleotide long non-coding RNA is filed under the name Mytilus galloprovincialis (Mediterranean mussel). Lineage: Eukaryota; Metazoa; Mollusca; Bivalvia; Mytilida; Mytilidae. The record is from RNAcentral.
GUUGUCCUCACUUUGUCCUUCUUGUCCGAAUUAUGUUUAAAAGCGUAUGAAACUAAAAGGACAUUUCUACAUAAUGCUAUUUUUAAACGGACAGUAAAUUCCUUUCUCGAUACGGCGUAUGAACUUGGGUGUAAUUUACAUAACCUUACGCAUUAGAUAUAAUGCUUAAAUGAGAUCAAUGAAAACCCUGUUCUAUCAUAAAUAAAGACAAUGUUAAUGAAAAGGGAGGCACAAACAUAAUAAAUA